This 609-nucleotide ribosomal RNA is filed under the name uncultured bacterium. RNAcentral describes it as "bacterial SSU rRNA". It matches the Rfam family "Bacterial small subunit ribosomal RNA", at positions 338 to 948 of the family's 1533-position model. The record is from RNAcentral.
CCUACGGGAGGCAGCAGUGAGGAAUAUUGGACAAUGGGCGCAAGCCUGAUCCAGCCAUGCCGCGUGCAGGAAGACGCAUCUAUGGUGUGUAAACUGCUUUUGUACGGGAAGAAACACUCCCUCGUGAGGGAGCUUGACGGUACCGUAAGAAUAAGGAUCGGCUAACUCCGUGCCAGCAGCCGCGGUAAUACGGAGGAUCCAAGCGUUAUCCGGAAUCAUUGGGUUUAAAGGGUCCGUAGGCGGUUUAAUAAGUCAGUGGUGAAAGCCCAUCGCUCAACGAUGGAACGGCCAUUGAUACUGUUAGACUUGAAUUACUAGGAAGUAACUAGAAUAUGUAGUGUAGCGGUGAAAUGCUUAGAUAUUACAUGGAAUACCAAUUGCGAAGGCAGGUUACUACUAGUGGAUUGACGCUGAUGGACGAAAGCGUGGGGAGCGAACAGGAUUAGAUACCCUGGUAGUCCACGCCGUAAACGAUGGAUACUAGCUGUUGGGCGCAAGUUCAGUGGCUAAGCGAAAGUGAUAAGUAUCCCACCUGGGGAGUACGUUCGCAAGAAUGAAACUUAAAUGAAAUUGACGGNUGNGAGNGCGAGACGACGACGAGGGAGGAGG